AUAAACGCGUUGAUGGAAACGAGUAAGUUUCGUGGUCUCUGACAGCGAACCCGGGUGAGGUGAAAGCCGGGGCAGAUACCGAAACUGAAAAUCCUUCCGAAGCGGCAACCUGAACGCAGGAGACUGCCAGUAGGUGCGCCGGGCUCACCCACCGUUAUUGCGGGUGCGGGCAUUAUCUUCCAGAGCGUGCCUGGCUGAGCGCCUCUCAUCCUGAGAGGAAGCAGGGUGGUACCGCGAGAACAAGCUCUCGUCCCUGAG
This 258-nucleotide non-coding RNA is filed under the name Longilinea arvoryzae. RNAcentral describes it as "T-box sequence". It matches the Rfam family "T-box leader". Rfam says of the family: Uncharged tRNA acts as the effector for transcription antitermination of genes in the T-box leader family. Lineage: Bacteria; Bacillati; Chloroflexota; Anaerolineae; Anaerolineales; Anaerolineaceae. The record is from RNAcentral.